UACGUAGGUGGCAAGCGUUGUCCGGAUUUACUGGGCGUAAAGGGAGCGUAGGUGGAUAUUUAAGUGGGAUGUGAAAUACUCGGGCUUAACCUGGGUGCUGCAUUCCAAACUGGAUAUCUAGAGUGCAGGAGAGGAAAGUAGAAUUCCUAGUGUAGCGGUGAAAUGCGUAGAGAGUAGGAAGAAUACCAGUGGCGAAGGCGACUUUCUGGACUGUAACUGACACUGAGGCUCGAAAGCGUGGGGAGCAAACAGG
RNAcentral lists this ribosomal RNA (253 nucleotides) under uncultured bacterium. RNAcentral's name for it is "partial 16S ribosomal RNA". It matches the Rfam family "Bacterial small subunit ribosomal RNA", at positions 524 to 776 of the family's 1533-position model. The record is from RNAcentral.